This 254-nucleotide ribosomal RNA is filed under the name uncultured bacterium. RNAcentral describes it as "partial 16S ribosomal RNA". It matches the Rfam family "Bacterial small subunit ribosomal RNA", at positions 524 to 776 of the family's 1533-position model. The record is from RNAcentral. RNAcentral also lists the same sequence under 1 other name.
CACGUAGGGGGCAAGCGUUGUCCGGAUUUAUUGGGCGUAAAGAGCUCGUAGGUGGUUCGGUAAGUCGGGUGUUAAACCCCCAGGCUCAACCUGGGGACGCCACUCGAUACUGCUGUGACUAGAGUCCGGUAGGGGAGCGUGGAAUUCCUGGUGUAGCGGUGAAAUGCGCAGAUAUCAGGAGGAACACCAGCGGCGAAGGCGGCGCUCUGGGCCGGUACUGACACUGAGGAGCGAAAGCGUGGGUAGCAAACAGG